UGUACGUGUUUGAGCACACGCCUCUGUCUGUCAGUCACAUUGUAUUGAAAUGAAUCCUGAUGUUAGAUGAAGUGGCUUUGGAGGCAGAUUAAGCAUGAACCUCUCUAUCAUGCCAGGUGUCAUGGGAAUGAUAUGUUGCAAAGUAUACAGACAGACAGAGAGUUUUGCCUCUGCUGGGUUGAUGUCAGGUCUUCAAUCUCUGUUUGAAGGUAAUAGUUUGCAUGCCAAAUGGCACUCUAUUCCCUAUAAAGGGCACUAAUGUCACCCUAUUCUCUCUCUAUAUAUAUUGUACCAGUUGGGCCAUGGUCAAAAGUAGUGCAACCUACUGUAUAUGGAAUAAGGUGCCAUUUGGGAUGUAAUCUAGAUAGAUGUCUGUGCAGGUUUCAGUCCAUCCUGGUGUACAGUCUGCUAUAGCUAGCUAGGCAGCUGUCUGUCUGUUGCCAAGAAUGUGACUAAAAUGCCAGCGUGAGCUGGGAAAACAACCCAGCGGAUGAAUUCCUACCCUUUUUAUUUCCUCAAAAACAUGGUUACGUCCCAAUUGGCACCCUUUUCCCUACACCUAUUGGUGCAUCGUAGGCCCUGGUCAAAAGUUGUGCACCAUAUAAGGAAUAGGGUGCCAUUUGGGAUGCAGAACAUGGUAUUUGUUUUAAACUAUAUUAAUCACUGAAUAACUUUUAUUCAGCUGUAAGUGCCAAUUUGGGAGGUAAAAUGAAAUGUUGCAAAUUAAAUCUGAAUGCUUUUUAAAGAUUGACUGCCCCUAAAAAACAAAUAAUUCCUUUCAAAACGGCCUAAGUGGCAUCAAUAUCUCCCUCACUAACUUUAAGCAUCAGCUGUCAGAGCAGUUUACCGAUAGCUGAAGCUGUACACAGCCCAUCUGUAAAUACCCCAUCCAACCAACUACCUACCUCAUCCCUUAUUUGUUUUUCUGCUCUUUUGCACACCAGUAUUUCUACUUGCACAUCCUCAUCUGCACAUCUAUCACUCCAGUGUUAAUUGCUAAAUUGUAAUUAUACAGAUUUUUCUAUUGUGUUAUUGACUGUACGUUGUUUAUCCCAUGUGCAACUAUAUUGUAGUUUUUGUCGCACUGCUUUGCUUUAUCUUGGCCAGGUCGCAGUUGUAAAUGAGAAGUUGUUCUCAACUUGCCUACCUGGUUAAAUAAAGGUUAAAAAAUAAAUACGAGUCAGAAGCAUUUAUUCUGGUGUCGAAAUUGACUGCAAAGUGUAAAUAGGAUAAUUUUGGUCAGUCUCGUCUAAAACGGAGUUUGGAACCUCAGUGCAUGACAACAAGUAAAUGAAGGUUGGGUUAGGAUUACAAUUAUGUCAAGAAAUCAAGCCCCAUUUUGUCAAACUCCACGUGCAAAUUGCCCCUCUGUCCACUUUGCUUUCUUUCAUUGUUUCAUCGCCCCCAACGCACUCAAAGGAUCACGGACGUUUGAGACUGAAAAGCCCCAUACGGAUUAACCAUGCAAUGCAUGGUUCAAGCAGGAUGCACAGCCAACUGGUUUGCAUGCCCUGUCAAAGGACCCUAAUCAUGCAAAAUAGGUGUUUGGAGUUCGUUGGUCCCAAGUGGUGAGUACUAACUAGCAGCAACAAACUCAACCCAACCCAGGGCCUAUCAGAAGGAAAAAAGCUUGUCAGGCAAUACCUUACAAAAAAAGUGUGUCAUGCGACACAAGUACCCUUGUGACACCACCUCCGUUGUUGCCAGAGUCUCCCUCGACUCCUAUGAAAAGGACACGCCAUCAUGAUGCCUCUGAUAGUGACCCAAGUUACUGCCCUGAGUACACAGACAGCUUCAUCAUCAACGACAGGCCCUCCCAGUCAAGAACACCUCAUAAGAUUGCCUGCAGCAGGUGUUCAAGAGAUGCCCAGGUUGCAGCCGAACAUGCAGCAUUGAGAAGACCAGCAAGUAAGCUCUCAUCAGCAUCAUGCAGACAGGCCCCCCUGUGAGCAUUCCUAUGAAUGGAACAGUCAGCCACAUGUUGGCAAGUAUCUGGCCAGCAACAGCUUUCACAGACUCAUUAUUAAAUACAGAAGGUAACCCACUUAAAUACUUUGAUAAUCCAAAUGGGAAACAUUAUUUAUGUAAACUGACAUUAUUUGUGGCUUAUUUUCUACUUCUUAAGAGGCAUAUAUGUCCAGGGCAUAACCUAGUCUGGUGGAACCAGCCUGAUCGCUGUGUUCCCCAUUCUAUUUGACUUCACAUUUUAUGGCAAAGACCUCACCUCCAGCCUCACCUCUUGCCUGCACUCCAACGGUCGUUGAUAGGGAGAACAGAAUUGGAUGCAUGAGAUGCAGAAAGACCUGGCACUCAACACAUCCACAAUGAGAUGGACUGGAGAUGCUUUUGCCAGACGGCAGCCUCAGUCGUUUGAUGGGGAGACCAUAAUUGGGUGUACUGGAGGGCAGGUAGUUUGCCCCCGGUGAUGCGUUGUGCAGACCUCACUACCCUCUGGAGAGCCUUACGGUUGUGGGCGGAGCAGUUGCCGUGCCAGGCGGUGAUACAGCCCGACAGGAUGCUCUCGAUUGUGCAUCUGAAGAAGUUUGUGAGUGCUUUUUAUUUUAUGGGUUGUUAUGUUUUUCUGUCAUGCGUAAUGUGCAGUAACCUAUAUAUCAUAUUUGUUUUGGUUAAUGGCCCACAACUCUUUUGGCUUUUUGAGGCUUGGGCUCAUUAAAUAUCUUUAAUGCAGUGCUGAAUAUAUGUCAUCAGGCUUGAAUCUUCAAUCAAAGCUCUAAUCUAAUCUAGACAUCGGUCUAUGUAUAUGCUUUAUCAUGUUUUUGAAUAACACUUCUGGUUUUGGUGGGAAAUGCCGGGUUACCCAGGAGAAAAGUGUAUUAUUCUCGGGUCGGGAAUUUUUGUAACAUACAGGGAAAAUAUUCUACCCUAGUGUGUAUGUGUUCACAGAAACAUGAAUAGAGCCAGCACAUUACUACUUGCAAGAUGAUGUGAUGAAGUCCAGACUGACACACGGGCUUGGUACAACCGGGCCCUCUGCAUAAAAUGUUUACUAGACACAACUUUGACUUAUGUUGUCAUUUUUUUAUUGAAUUGAUUGAAUGGUAUCACUCAAUAUGGGUCGGGAGAAACACUGUGUAUUCUGCACCAGAAUCAGGGAACUCAUGUUGUAUACGGGACACCACACAGGAAGGUACAGAGCAAGUGUUCAGACCCCUUGACUUUUCCCACAUUUUGUUACGUUUCAGCCUUAUUCUAAUAUUGAUCAAAUAGUUUUUCCCCCUCAUCAAUCUUAAAUAAAUCAUUCUCUACUAUUAUUCUGACAUUUCACGUUCAUAAAAUAAGUGGUGAUCCUAACUGACCUAAAA
Molecule: long non-coding RNA, 3323 nt
Organism: Oncorhynchus keta (chum salmon)
Lineage: Eukaryota; Metazoa; Chordata; Actinopteri; Salmoniformes; Salmonidae
Exons: 7
Source: RefSeq, a predicted model, not a curated record